Syzygium oleosum is the source of this 3914-nucleotide RNA transcript. It is a transcript of the gene named inositol hexakisphosphate and diphosphoinositol-pentakisphosphate kinase VIP2-like, with no coding region annotated. NCBI's taxonomy places the organism in Eukaryota, Viridiplantae, Streptophyta, Magnoliopsida, Myrtales, Myrtaceae. The transcript has 33 exons. The record is from RefSeq and is a predicted model, not a curated record.
UAUUCUAGAAUCCAACCCAGCCAUUCAUCUCACGCUCUCCCAUUUCAGCUCCCUCCGCCGAAGCGCUCCUCGCUCCUCCUUCCUCCUCCCUCCUCUCGAGUCGGCGUACCGUGCUCGCGCCUCCCCCAAUCCCGCGGCUCCGCCUCCCCCGGCGGCGCUCCGCGGCGGCUUCGGCCCCCACCCUCUCUCUCGCCCCUACGCACUGACUGGCUGGCUGGCUGGCUGGCUGGCUCGACGCGGUUCGCGAGCUCGGGAAUGGCGGCGGCGGCGGCGGAGAAGAAGAUAACGGUCGGAGUAUGCGUGAUGCAGAAAAAGGUGUUCUCGUCGCCUAUGAGACAAAUCCUGGACAGGCUGCAAGCGUUUGGCGAAUUCGAGAUUAUUAUAUUUGGGGACAACGUCAUCCUGGAAGAUCCUAUUGAGAGCUGGCCGAUUUGUGAUUGCUUAGUUGCCUUUUAUUCGAAUGGAUAUCCCCUCGACAAGGCAGAGGCAUAUGUUGCUUUAAGGAUGCCUUACUUGGUAAAUGAACUGGAACAACAGCACCUUCUUCAUGACCGAAGGAAGGUAUAUGAGCAUCUCGAAAUGUUUGGAAUUCCUGUUCCAAGGUACGCUCUUGUGAAUAGGGAAGUACCAUACCAAGAGUUGGAUUAUUUUGUUGAGGAAGAAGAUUUUGUCGAGGUUCGCGGUGACCGUUUUUGGAAGCCUUUUGUGGAAAAGCCUAUUGAUGGUGACAAUCACAGCAUCAUGAUAUACUAUCCAAGUUCAGCUGGUGGGGGGAUGAAGGAAUUAUUUAGGAAGAUUGGCAAUAGGUCGAGCGAGUUUCAUCCGGAAGUAAGAAGAGUUAGACGUGAAGGCUCAUACAUAUAUGAGGAAUUUAUGCCCACUGGAGGAACAGAUGUGAAGGUGUAUACUGUUGGUCCUGAAUAUGCGCAUGCUGAGGCGCGGAAGUCACCAGUUGUGGAUGGUGUUGUUAUGAGAAAUCCUGAUGGAAAGGAAGUGAGGUAUCCUGUGCUGUUGACUCCUGCUGAGAAGCAAAUGGCAAGAGAAGUUUGCAUCGCAUUCCGGCAAAUGGUCUGUGGGUUCGAUCUAUUGCGCUGUGAGGGACGGUCAUAUGUUUGUGAUGUGAAUGGUUGGAGUUUCGUGAAGAACUCCCACAAAUAUUAUGAUGAUGCUGCGUGUGUUUUGAGAAAGAUGUUAUUGGAGGCAAAAGCUCCCCAUCUUUCCUCAACAAUUCCGCCAAUAUUACCAUGGAAAGUCAAUGAACCUGUGCAGCCUUCCGAGGGACUAACCCGUCAAGGAAGUGGGAUUAUUGGCACAUUUGGGCAGGCUGAGGAGCUGCGUUGUGUGAUUGCUGUCAUUCGUCACGGUGAUAGAACUCCCAAACAGAAAGUAAAGUUGAAAGUUACUGAGGAAAAACUUCUAAACUUGAUGCUCAAAUACAAUGGAGGAAGGCCUAGAUCUGAGACAAAACUCAAAAGUGCUGUCCAAUUGCAAGAUUUGUUAGAUGCAACAAGGACGCUAGUUCCUCGCACCAGACCUGGUCGUGAAAGUGAUAGUGAGGCAGAAGACAUUGAACAUGCUGAGAAGCUUCGUCAGGUUAAAGCCGUUUUGGAGGAGGGGGGACACUUCUCCGGUAUCUACAGGAAGGUUCAACUGAAACCACUAAAAUGGAUUAAAGUUACGAAAAGUGAUGGUGAAGGGGAACAAGAACGUCCCGUUGAAGCUCUCAUGGUUCUUAAAUAUGGGGGAGUUCUCACUCAUGCUGGAAGAAAGCAGGCUGAAGAACUUGGUAGAUACUUCCGGAAUAACAUCUAUCCAGGAGAAGGCACUGGCUUGCUUCGCCUCCAUAGUACAUACCGUCAUGAUCUUAAAAUCUACAGCUCUGAUGAGGGCCGUGUGCAGAUGUCUGCUGCUGCAUUUGCUAAGGGCCUCCUUGAUUUGGAAGGUCAAUUAACACCUAUCCUGGUUUCGCUUGUUAGCAAGGACUCCUCUAUGCUGGAUGGACUUGAUAAUGCUAGUAUUGAGAUGGAAGAAGCUAAGGCAAUGUUGAAUGAAAUUAUAACGACUGGUGUAAGUAAGGGCAGCAGCAAUGGUUCCUCUGAACUUCCCUGGAUGGCUGAUGGGGUCGGAUUGCCUUCGAAUGCUUCAGAGCUUCUACCUGAAUUGGUGAAAUUGACGAGGAAGGUAACAGAACAAGUCAAACUUCUUGCAAAGGAUGAAGAUGAGGAACUUAUAGAGACAAGUGGAUAUAAUUUGAUUCUUCCGUAUGAUCAAGCAAAAGCACUUGGUAAGACCAAUAUUGAUGUCGAUCGCAUUGCUGCUGGAUUGCCCUGUGGUAGUGAGGGCUUUCUCUUGAUGUUUGCUCGAUGGAGAAAACUUGAAAGAGAUUUGUACAAUGAACGCAAGGAGAGGUUUGACAUAACGCAAAUUCCUGAUGUUUAUGACUCGUGCAAAUAUGAUCUUCUACACAAUGCACAUCUUAAUCUGGAGGGAUUGGAUGACCUUUUCAAAGUAGCACAGUUACUUGCAGAUGGUGUAAUUCCAAAUGAGUAUGGUAUUAAUCCAAGGCAGAAGUUAAAGAUUGGAUCAAAGAUUGCUCGCCGUUUGUUGGGAAAGAUUUUGAUUGAUCUCAGAAAUACUCGUGAAGAGGCAAUUUGUAUUGCUGGACUAAAGAGCAAUCAAGAACAAUGUUCAAAAUCAAGCGAGACUGAAUGGGAUGAUCAAGAAUAUUGGAGUGAAGAAUAUAGAAGAUUUAGUGCCAGUGAGAAGUCAAUGGAGCAGGAUGAUGAGGAUGACAGAGAGUCUCAAUAUCGUUUAGACCCAAAGUACGCAAAUGUCAAGACUCCUGAACGUCAUGUACGAACGCGGCUUUACUUCACAUCAGAAUCACAUAUCCAUUCUCUCAUGAACGUACUCCGCUACUGUAACCUGGAUGAGUCCCUUCAGGGGGAGGAUAGCCUAAUUUUCCUUAAUGGCUUGGAGCGCUUGUACAGGACUAAAGAGCUUGAUUACAUGAGUUAUAUCGUUCUGAGAAUGUUUGAGAACACAGAGGUAGCUUUAGAAGAUCCAAAACGGUUCCGCAUAGAGAUGGCAUUUAGCCGAGGUGCAGAUUUAUCUCCUCUUGAGAAGAAUGACAGUGAAGCUACUUCACUGCAUCAGGAGCACACACUGCCAAUAAUGGGCCCAGAGAGGCUGCAAGAAGUGGGAUCUUAUCUGACUUUGGAGAAGAUGGAGAGGAUGAUUCGCCCAUUUGCAAUGCCUGCGGAAGACUUUCCUCCACCGGCGACGCCUCAGGGUUUCUCAGGCUAUUUCUCGAAGAGUGCUGCCGUUCUUGAGCGUCUGGUUAAUCUUUGGCCUUUCUCUAAGCAAGGAAAUGUUAAUGGAGAUGUUUAGGAUGACAACAUAGCUGCGAACGUUGGUUAUCUGCUUUAGCACUUUCAAGCGAUCUGCAAUCACCACUGUUGCUGCCAUUAUCGACACAAGUGAUGUUCUGACUUUGUGACAACAAACGUGUAGACAUGUGAAGCAUGUCAAAGAGGCUUUUCGAUUUUGCAGCUGUAUUCUCAUCGUGCUGAGAAUUUCCUAAUGCUCUUUCUUGAUGUUCAUCCCGCCACGCCAAUUCACAAAUCCAGAAGUCAACAUCACCCAUCGCUUUCGGGCGAGAUCGCACAAUCGAGGGCCGUCGCCAGCAAGGCCUCCCACUUUAAGACAGUUGUGAUGACUUCGUCUUAACAUUCUAUUUUGAAUCAGUCAGAAAAGAUGGCCAGAGAGGUGCCUUGGAAAAGCUGUUGGCCUCAUUGUCUAAUGCCAUGCAAGACCGAUCCGAUCAUGGUUAUGUCCUCUCUCACUAAUGUUGCUUUCGGGUAAACUCGUCAAAAUAGGUCAUAGAUCUAUCUUUUAAUCCAUAUUUGAUGAGU